GGCCACGUUCACCCCCAAGACCUGUUCUCUCACAUCCUCUGUCCCUGCCCAGACCCUGUCCGGGGCACUGGUCCCAGAGGCGAGGAGAUGAUAAUGACGGUGACAGUGAUGGUGAUGAUGGUCCUGAUGGUGACAGGGAUGGUGAUGGCGAUGGUGACUAAUACUCGGCUCUCACUCUGUGCCCCAGUCCUCAGCACUCAGCAGAUGACACUUCAUUUAGCCCUUACAGCAACCCCGGGAGAAGAAAGGGACGGGGCAAGCAGGAGAGGGGUCAGGCAGCUCCAGAGACCCGGCUGUCUGCACAGAAGGGAGAGCAGAACUGACGACCCCGAGAAGAGAGGCAGACCCAGCUCCCUUCCGAGUCGAAGCAGAAGCAACAGGGCGGCAUCCUUGAGAAGAGGACGACCUUCUUUGGGGCCUGCCCACAGAGCCACCCUGCCUUCCCAGGGGGAAGGAGGCGUGGUGGUUCCUGCAGGAUAUACGUGCCCGAAGCACUCACCGUCCACCGCACGUUUAAUGAACUCGCAAUAUUCCCUCCUCUCCUCUCCCCCUCGAGCAAAGCUUUCUGGCUGCAGGAGCGGGUAGUGAACCACCCCCCACAAAGAAGAGAAGAUGGCCAGGAUGUCUGGAGCCCAGAAUGUUUCUGGGAGCUUCUCAAGAAACCAGGAACGUUGGUCCUCCCAGGAAGGAAAGCCAGGUCAGGAAGGGGCAGGGAGAAUGUUUUUUCACUGUAGACCCCACUUGUACCACCGGCACGUACGUCCUGCCCCAAAAUAAAUGAACUCGGUUAAAACUUUUUUAAAAAAACAUAUGAAAAGAGCGGCGCCUCCGUGGCUCAGUCGGUGAAGCUUCUGACUCUCGAUUUCGGCUCAGGUCGGGAUCUCACAGUUCGCGGGAUCGAGCCCCGGGUCGGGCUCUGUGCUGAGUCUGCUCCGACCAGUGCGGAGCCUGCUUGGGAUUCGCUCUCUCCUCCCUCUGCCCCCUCCCCCAGCGAGUAAAUAAAGAAACUUUUUUUUUUUAAAUAAAAUCAAAAUAAAAACACAUAUAAAGAGAAAAGACAUC
Molecule: long non-coding RNA, 1062 nt
Organism: Neofelis nebulosa (Clouded leopard)
Lineage: Eukaryota; Metazoa; Chordata; Mammalia; Carnivora; Felidae
Exons: 3
Source: RefSeq, a predicted model, not a curated record